UGGGGAAUAUUGGACAAUGGGCGCAAGCCUGAUCCAGCCAUGCCGCGUGAGUGAUGAAGGCCAUAGGGUUGUAAAGCUCUUUCACCGGUGAAGAUAAUGACGGUAACCGGAGAAGAAGCCCCGGCUAACUUCGUGCCAGCAGCCGCGGUAAUACGAAGGGGGCUAGCGUUGGUCGGAUUUACUGGGCGUAAAGCACACGUAGGCGGACUUUUAAGUCAGGGGUGAAAACCAGGGGCUCAACCCCGGAACUGCCUUUGGUACUGGAAGGCUUGAGUAGGGGAGAGGGGAGUGGAAUUCCGAGUGGAGAGGUGAAAUUCGUAGAUAUUCGGGGGAACACCAGUGGCGAAGGCGGCGCACUGGACCAUUACUGACGCUGAGGUGCGAAAGCGUGGGGAGCAAACAGG
This 404-nucleotide ribosomal RNA is filed under the name Actinomycetes bacterium. RNAcentral's name for it is "Actinobacteria bacterium partial 16S ribosomal RNA". It matches the Rfam family "Bacterial small subunit ribosomal RNA", at positions 355 to 776 of the family's 1533-position model. The record is from RNAcentral. Lineage: Bacteria; Bacillati; Actinomycetota; Actinomycetes.